Molecule: ribosomal RNA, 1322 nt
Filed under: uncultured bacterium
Lineage: Bacteria
Description: bacterial SSU rRNA
Rfam family: Bacterial small subunit ribosomal RNA
Source: RNAcentral
GAUGAACGCUGGCGGCGUGCUUAACACAUGCAAGUCGAACGAACCUUCGGGUUAGUGGCGGACGGGUGAGUAACGCGUGGGAAUCUGCCCUCAGGAGGGGGAUAACGGUUGGAAACGACCGCUAAUACCCCAUAUGCCGAGAGGUGAAAUGAAUUUCGCCUGAGGAUGAGCCCGCGUCUGAUUAGCUCGUUGGUGAGGUAAUGGCUCACCAAGGCAUCGAUCAGUAGCUGGUCUGAGAGGAUGAUCAGCCACACUGGGACUGAGACACGGCCCAGACUCCUACGGGAGGCAGCAGUGGGGAAUUUUCCGCAAUGGACGAAAGUCUGACGGAGCAACGCCGCGUGAGGGACGAAGGCCUCUGGGCUGUAAACCUCUUUUCUCAAGGAAGAAGAUAUGACGGUACUUGAGGAAUAAGCCACGGCUAAUUCCGUGCCAGCAGCCGCGGUAAUACGGGAGUGGCAAGCGUUAUCCGGAAUUAUUGGGCGUAAAGCGUCCGCAGGCGGCCUUUCAAGUCUGCUGUUAAAGCGUGGAGCUUAACUCCAUCAUGGCAGUGGAAACUGAUUGGCUUGAGUAUGGUAGGGGUAGAGGGAAUUCCCGGUGUAGCGGUGAAAUGCGUAGAUAUCGGGAAGAACACCAGUGGCGAAGGCGCUCUACUGGGCCAUUACUGACGCUCAUGGACGAAAGCCAGGGGAGCGAAAGGGAUUAGAUACCCCUGUAGUCCUGGCCGUAAACGAUGAACACUAGGUGUCGGGGGAAUCGACCCCUUCGGUGUCGUAGCUAACGCGUUAAGUGUUCCGCCUGGGGAGUACGCACGCAAGUGUGAAACUCAAAGGAAUUGACGGGGGCCCGCACAAGCGGUGGAGUAUGUGGUUUAAUUCGAUGCAACGCGAAGAACCUUACCAGGGCUUGACAUCCUGCGAACCUUUAAGAAAUUAGAGGGUGCCUUCGGGAACGCAGUGACAGGUGGUGCAUGGCUGUCGUCAGCUCGUGUCGUGAGAUGUUGGGUUAAGUCCCGCAACGAGCGCAACCCACGUUUUUAGUUGCCAGCAUUUAGUUGGGCACUCUAGAAAGACCGCCGGUGAUAAACCGGAGGAAGGUGUGGAUGACGUCAAGUCAUCAAGCCCCUUACGUCCUGGGCUACACACGUACUACAAUGCUACGGACAAAGGGCAGCAAACUCGCGAGAGCUAGCAAAUCCCAUAAACCGUGGCUCAGUUCAGAUCGUAGGCUGCAACUCGCCUACGUGAAGUAGGAAUCGCUAGUAAUCGCAGGUCAGCAUACUGCGGUGAAUACGUUCCCGGGCCUUGCACACACCGCCCGUC